This 320-nucleotide unclassified non-coding RNA is filed under the name plant metagenome. RNAcentral's name for it is "partial contains 5.8S ribosomal RNA, internal transcribed spacer 2, and large subunit ribosomal RNA". The stretch from base 1 to 105 matches the Rfam family "5.8S ribosomal RNA", at positions 50 to 154 of the family's 154-position model. The record is from RNAcentral.
GAAAUGCGAUAAGUAAUGUGAAUUGCAGAAUUCAGUGAAUCAUCGAAUCUUUGAACGUACAUUGCGCCCGCCAGUAUUCUGGCGGGCAUGCCUGUUCGAGCGUCAUUACAACCCUCAGGCCCCCGGGCCUGGCGUUGGGGAUCGGCGGAAGCCCCCUGCGGGCACAACGCCGUCCCCCAAAUACAGUGGCGGUCCCGCCGCAGCUUCCAUUGCGUAGUAGCUAACACCUCGCAACUGGAGAGCGGCGCGGCCACGCCGUAAAACACCCAACUUCUGAAUGUUGACCUCGAAUCAUGUAGGAAUACCCGCUGAACUUAAGC